This is an unclassified non-coding RNA of Erinaceus europaeus (western European hedgehog), 323 nucleotides long. Its record names the gene 7SK. It matches the Rfam family "7SK RNA". Rfam says of the family: 7SK was discovered as an abundant small nuclear RNA in the mid-70s but a possible function has only recently been suggested. Two independent studies have found that 7SK RNA binds the CDK9/cyclin T complex (known as elongation factor P-TEFb). Lineage: Eukaryota; Metazoa; Chordata; Mammalia; Eulipotyphla; Erinaceidae. The record is from Ensembl.
GGAUAUGAGGGUGAUCUGGCUGCAACAUCUGUCACCCCAUUGACAGCCAGGGUUUGAUCUGACUGGCUAGGCUGGUGUCCCCUUCCUCCCUCACCACUCCAUGUGAGUCAGUCCCAAAACUGUGUGCUGGGUGGAAGAGGAAGGCCUUCCCCAAACAGAGACAGACAGGUCUUCUGUGGAGGGUAAACUUGCCCCCCCUGCUAGAACCUCUAAACAAGCUCUUAAGAGCCAUUUGUAGGAGAAUGAGAAAGUAGGGUAGUCAAGCUUCCAAGUCUCCAGACACAUCCAAAUGAGGCACUACAUGUGUCAGUCUGCCUUUCUUU